AAUUCAUUAAAGGGAAACAAUGGCUUAUAACUUCAUAUAGUACUUGUCAUUCAUGCAAAUAAGAUUUGAAUUAUUACUACUUUGAACAGCUGCUACCCUGACUUUUAGAAUUAAUGUUUAUCGUGUCAAAUCUCACCUUCAAUGGGAUUACCAUUUACAUAAAUUUAAUGAUCUGUAAAAAAAAUAUAAUAGAAAAGGAUGAUUUGAUAUAGGAAAACAUUUUAUCUUUUUGAAAAUUGAUUAUAAAUUUUUUGCACUUAAAGCUGUUAGCUAUGACCUACCUGCUGCAGCUUUAACAGCAAGAUACAACAAUAAUGUUACUAAUUAUCUGUAAGAACAAGGUUUCAUAUAGAUAAGUUUUUCUUAAUUUCGUGUGUAAGAAUGAUAUUUGAUGACAAAUUUAUUGCACUAAGCUUUAAAUAAUGACCUAACUGCUACAGCAUUAACAGCAAGGUAUGAUGAUAAUGUCAUCAUUUGUAAGAACAUUAGGUUUCACAUGGAAGAAUUUCAUGUAUAAGUAUAAUACAGUUAUACAAUAUAACAUGUAUACAGUGGCG
This 557-nucleotide long non-coding RNA is filed under the name Mytilus galloprovincialis (Mediterranean mussel). The record is from RNAcentral. Lineage: Eukaryota; Metazoa; Mollusca; Bivalvia; Mytilida; Mytilidae.